UCAGGAUGAACGCUGGCGGCGUGCCUAACACAUGCAAGUCGAGCGGUAUAUGUUAAACAAAUCUUCGGAAGAGUGAGAGCAUAGAGAGCGGCGGACGGGUGAGUAACGCGUAGGCAACCUGCCCCAUACAGAGGGAUAGCCUCGGGAAACCGGGAUUAAAACCUCAUAACGCGAAAGAGUCACAUGGCUCUUUCGCCAAAGAUUUAUCGGUAUGGGAUGGGCCUGCGUCUGAUUAGCUAGUUGGUGGGGUAACGGCUCACCAAGGCAACGAUCAGUAGCCGACCUGAGAGGGUAAUCGGCCACAUUGGAACUGAGACACGGUCCAAACUCCUACGGGAGGCAGCAGUGGGGAAUAUUGCACAAUGGGCGAAAGCCUGAUGCAGCAACGCCGCGUGAGCGAUGAAGGCCUUUGGGUCGUAAAGCUCUGUCCUAGGGGAAGAAUAAAUGACGGUACCCUUGGAGGAAGCCCCGGCUAACUACGUGCCAGCAGCCGC
This 494-nucleotide ribosomal RNA is filed under the name uncultured bacterium. RNAcentral describes it as "bacterial SSU rRNA". It matches the Rfam family "Bacterial small subunit ribosomal RNA", at positions 24 to 518 of the family's 1533-position model. The record is from RNAcentral.